Ictalurus punctatus (channel catfish) is the source of this 2195-nucleotide long non-coding RNA. Lineage: Eukaryota; Metazoa; Chordata; Actinopteri; Siluriformes; Ictaluridae. The record is from Ensembl.
GUGAGAGUAAACUGGCAGAGGGAGGGGGAGAACAGAACAAUGGGGAAAAACCCAUUAGGCAAUUAAUCUCUCUUAAUAAGAACAUUAACAUUCUCCAAGCGAGAGCAGAGGCAGUUUGGAACUAGUCAAUUUUCUCUUUUCCAUCUCUUGGUGGAUAAUUGGGAAUACUGAGUUGGGGCAGGAUUACGGUUCCCCAGGUAACUGCUAUGGAAGCAGAAGGGAACAGAUUUCUCUUCACCACACCUCCAGGGGAACAAAUGGCGUGAACGAAAGCAAGAGAAAGACUUGGAUCACGGACAUAAGAUAUAUUGAGGCAACCCUUUAAUGGAACGGAGGGUGCCGUCCUAGGUGAUCUCUGAAGAGCUCGUUUCUUUGGAGGGCUUUUUCAAGUUUCCUUUCAAAGCACACCUCACACCAGGAAUGUGAGGGAAAUGGAUGAAGAACACUAUAGACCAAUUUCAGAUCAUGAGGGGGAAAAAAUACUGUAUGGUUGACUGAAGAGAUGGCAAGGUUACGGGACCAGACAUCUGUUAUUUUUUUCUAAAGAGACCAAUAACACUCAAGGUUUAUAUGCUUGAUUACAAACAGGCACAAGCGGCAUGAAAAUAGAGCUGUUACUCUUUAAAAUUCAGAGCAGGAGAUGCCCAUAAAAAAAAAUUUGACACGGGAUCAGAGGACAACCUCAAUAUCAAGGAUUGGUUAUUAAAAAAUUCCCAGAAAACCUGGCAUCUACUUAUUUGUUAAAAUGCCCAAAUUACACAUGCUCAGAUAAAGAGAGAAGCUUGACCCCGCUACACGCUCCAUUUACCCAAAACAAGCUACUUAUUAACUACCCAUACUGGAUCUGUUUGCUUAGUGAAUAUAAAUAAAUAGAUGCGGGUUGGAAAAAAAAGACGACAAAUUGAGUCUUUUUUUAUUACACAGGUAACUGGUAUUUAAUAGGCAAAUAUGUAGUUAGUAACUGGUAUUUAAUAGGUAAGAGUGUAGUUAGUAACUGGUAUUUAAUAGGUAAGAGUGUAGUUAGUAACUGGUAUUUAAUAGGUAAGCGUGUAGUUAGUAACUGGUAUUUAAUAGGUAAGAGUGUAGUUAGUAACUGGUAUUUAAUAGGUAAGCGUGUAGUUAGUAACUGGUAUUUAAUAGGUAAGAGUGUAGUUAGUAACUGGUAUUUAAUAGGUAAGAGUGUAGUUAGUAACUGGUAUUUAAUAGGUAAGAGUGUAGUUAGUAACUGGUAUUUAAUAGGUAAAUAUGUAGUUAGUAACUGGUAUUUAAUAGGUAAGAGUGUAGUUAGUAACUGGUAUUUAAUAGGCAAAUAUGUAGUUAGUAACUGGUAUUUAAUAGGUAAGAGUGUAGUUAGUAACUGGUAUUUAAUAGGUAAGAGUGUAGUUAGUAACUGGUAUUUAAUAGGUAAGACUGCAGUUAGUAAAUGGUAUUUAACAGGUAAGUACUUUAUUGAGUACAAGUAAAUAUUGUAUAUAUUGUACGUAAGUGCAUAGCAACGUAUGUGGAAAAGCUCAGGUAGCACUCAUACUGGACAAAAACCAUGUAAAAAUAAAAAAUUCCCACCUUGUGCAACUGUGUACACAUGGAGGCCAUGCUAAUGCGAACAGGCAUUCAGUAUAGCCAGCCAAUUAAACAGCCUUUGAUUAGCUUCUAAUGAGAGUUCACACUCAUCUCUAGCCUGGGUCACUUGUUUUGCUUUGGUGGCCUGCUACAAAUGAGCUCUUUUUGCAAGGUUGCCUUCUGCUUGGUCCCCAAAAGACAAACACCUCCACAAUUAGUGUCUGUAAUUGUUCACCCAUCACCUAGACCAAAUGCACCUGUAAUUACAGUGUCCCCGAGCAUGUGCGCACACACAGACAGACAGAGAGACAGACAGACAGAGCAAUUCACACACAUUAGAUGAUGCAUGUCAUUUACAAUGGUGCAGAUGCAUCUUCACAAUCACUUAAGAACGUGAAAAAUAUAGGAGAAACGAUUAUUUAUUUAUUCAUAAAUAAUAAUACUAAUACCAACUUUAAUAGUAACUAUUGUAAUAAUAAUAAUAGGUUCCACUGCCUAGUGAGUCUUACCAUAACAAAACACACAUGCCGAAUAUAAUUAACCUUCUUGCCACGAAACUAUUGCAAGUACUAGUUAAAAGUAUGGACAUAUGGGUGGAGUUAGAAAUAGUGCAGACCACUGAUUGGUCAAAUGCA